Molecule: ribosomal RNA, 421 nt
Filed under: uncultured bacterium
Lineage: Bacteria
Description: bacterial SSU rRNA
Rfam family: Bacterial small subunit ribosomal RNA
Source: RNAcentral
AGGAAUAUUGGUCAAUGGACGAGAGUCUGAACCAGCCAAGUAGCGUGAAGGAUGGCUGCCCUAUGGGUUGUAAACUUCUUUUAUAUGGGAAUAAAGUGCAGUAUGUAUACUGCUUUGCAUGUACCUUAUGAAUAAGGAUCGGCUAACUCCGUGCCAUCAGCCUCGGUAAUACGGAGGAUCCGAGCGUUAUCCGGAUUUAUUGGGUUUAAAGGGAGCGUAGGCGGGUUGUUAAGUCAGUUGUGAAAGUUUGCGGCUCAACCGUAAAAUUGCAGUUGAUACUGGCAUCCUUGAGUACAGUAGAGGUAGGCGGAAUUCGUGGUGUAGCGGUGAAAUGCUUAGAUAUCACGAAGAACUCCGAUUGCGAAGGCAGCCUGCUGGACUGUAACUGACGCUGAUGCUCGAAAGUGUGGGUAUCAAACAG